Long non-coding RNA from Hordeum vulgare subsp. vulgare (domesticated barley), 1089 nucleotides. RefSeq lists it as uncharacterized. The record is from RefSeq and is a predicted model, not a curated record. The transcript is spliced from 3 exons. NCBI's taxonomy places the organism in Eukaryota, Viridiplantae, Streptophyta, Magnoliopsida, Poales, Poaceae.
UCAUUUUCUCUCUCUAGCGGCUUCUCGGUCUACAGGCUGCCAGCCGUCGGUCGACGGCGAUACUCAGGCUUCGUCUACAAGUGUUGGCUGAUAUUAUCCCACAUGCGACCGUCCUCACUGGGCUCUCCAUCCACGACGAGUGAAGCAGCAUCCAUCAAAGAUUGAGGAACAUCCUUGGUACAUUGCACACGUGCACAGGGAAAAAUGUCAACUCCUGUCCCAACCAAAAGUACUAAGCCUAAGAGGAAGAAUGCUCGUGGGAAUCGGACUAACCCUGGCUGGGAACAUGGAGAAGAAGUUGAGGUUGAGAACAAGACAACAAGAUGCAAAUAUUGCCUUCUUGUUAAAGGAGGAGGUGUCUACAAACUGAAGCAUCACUUGGCUGGGACAAGGUUUAAUGUCGAGCCUUGCGAAAAAGUUUCCGAUAAUACAUGUACUAAUGCUAACUUCUCAAACCUGUGUAGGUUCAUACAAAGAGAAGAAAUCGUUUGCACCAAGAUAAGAUGAAUGAUUUAGUUUUUGUCAUGUACAAUUCGAAACUGAUGAGCAGACAACGCAGAAGGCAAAGACAAGCUGGGGAAUACUACAUUGAUGAUGUUUCUUCUCAUGAUGAAUUUAUAACUGAAAAAGAAAAACCAGUCCUUCCUCCACAAAAGGAAUGGAUCCGUUCUCUUGAUAGGAUUGCUCAUAACGAUGCUGCUGUGGACAAAGAAAAUGAAAGUGACAUUGAAAAUGGUGUAGAAUAUAUUUUUAAUAACCUGGCUGAAGCAUGUGAUGGUGAUGUUGGAGUGGAUCAAGAUCUUGAUGCAUAUACUUACGAAGAUCCUGAUGGUGAAAACAACAAUGCCAACGAGGAAAAUGUUCUUGGCGGCAACAAUUUAGGACCUUCCUGUGGGAGUUCUAGUGCUGCAGUAGCACCCAUGAACGAUGAUAUCAAUUUAGACGACCUAUACUAAACAAGUUAUCUUCUAUUUCUAGUAGGUUAAACCUUUGUGUUUCCCAAGAAAUUAGAUUAUAUGCCCUUUGUUUGCUUUUGGACAUGUCAGUAAGCCACUUUUCAUUUGAGGAUUAUUAUAUGUUGCUAUUUUA